GAUUAACGCUGGCGGCGUGCAUAACACAUGCAAGUCGAACGAUGAAACUUAACUGAUUUCUUCGGAAUGAUUUUAAGUGGAUUAGUGGCGGACGGGUGAGUAACGCGUGAGUAACCUGCCUUGGAGAAGGGGAUAGCCUUUGGAAACGAAGAAUAAUACCCUAUGAUAUGAUAAUAUCUCAUGAUAUUAUCAUCAAAGAUUUAUCGCUCUAAGAUGGACUUGCGUCUGAUUAGUUAGUUGGUGAGGUAACAGCUCACCAAGGCAGCGAUCAGUAGCCGGCUUGAGAGAGUGUACGGCCACAUUGGGACUGAGACACGGCCCAGACUCCUACGGGAGGCAGCAGUGGGGAAUUUUGCACAAUGGGGGAAACCCUGAUGCAGCGACGCCGCGUGAUUUAGAAGGCCUUCGGGUUGUAAAAAUCUUUUGUAUGGGAAGAAAAUGACAGUACCAUACGAAUAAGGACCGGCUAAUUACG
RNAcentral lists this ribosomal RNA (475 nucleotides) under uncultured bacterium. RNAcentral's name for it is "partial 16S ribosomal RNA". It matches the Rfam family "Bacterial small subunit ribosomal RNA", at positions 28 to 505 of the family's 1533-position model. The record is from RNAcentral.